Molecule: unclassified non-coding RNA, 338 nt
Filed under: Helictochloa pratensis
Lineage: Eukaryota; Viridiplantae; Streptophyta; Magnoliopsida; Poales; Poaceae
Description: sequence contains ITS1, 5.8S rRNA gene, ITS2
Rfam family: 5.8S ribosomal RNA (bases 228-338)
Source: RNAcentral
CAUUGUCGUGACCCUGACCAAAAUAGACCGUGAACGCGUAAUCCAGCCCGCCGUCGGCGACUCACCUCGUCGUUCGGCCAAGUCCUCGACAACCUCCUCUCCUCGGAGCGGUGGCUCGGGGUAAAAGAACCCACGGCGCCUAAGGCGUCAAGGAACACUGUGCCUAACUCGGGGACGCGUCUGGCUUGCUGGCCGCCCCCCGUGUUGCAAAGCUAUAUAAUCCACACGACUCUCGGCAACGGAUAUCUCGGCUCUCGCAUCGAUGAAGAACGUAGCGAAAUGCGAUACCUGGUGUGAAUUGCAAAUCCCGCAACCAUCGAGUCUUUGAACGCAAGUUG